CAGGGCCACACCCACAGCAUAUGGAAGUUCCCAGGCUAGGGGUCGAAUCAGAGCUACAGCUGCCAGCCUCCGCCACAGCCACAGCAACACAGGAUCAGAGCAGCAUCUGCAACCUACACUACAACUCACGGCAACGCCGGAUCCUUAACCACCAAGUGAGGCAAGGGAUCAAAUCCACUUCCUCAUGGAUCCUAGUUGGGUUCGUUAACCACUGAGCCACCAAGGGAACUCCCACAUAUAUCUUUCUUAAUGAAAGUUUUCUUCUGAUACAUGCCCAUAUGGAUCAUAUGGUAGUCCUUCAUUUAGUUUUCUGAGGAACCACCACACUAUUUUCCUGCAGUCAUUCUUGAUUCUUCCCCUUUCAGUGACCCAUAUCAAAUUUAUCAGAUAUACCUUCCAAAUAUAUCCCAAACCCACCCACCUUUCUAUGCUCCACUGACACCCCCAAAGCCCGCUAGCAUCCUUUCUAACUAGGCAUCCUAUUACUACUCUUGCUCAAUUUUCUAUACAACAAUCAAAAUGAUCACCUUAAAUACACAUCAGAUGAUGUCACUUCCCUUUUCAAAACUCUGCAGUGAGUUCUAUGUGUUCCUAAUGCAAAUAAAAUAAAUCUCCACAAUCCUUAUCAGGACCUUCAAAACCCACGUUGAGCUGGCCCCCGCCUACCUCUUUAGCGUCUGCUCCUAUUGCUCCUACAAUGACCAGUUCCUGUCCCUGGCAAAAUGCCAAGCCCAGGGUCUUUGCCCUUCCUGUUGACUCUGGACCAGAUGUACUGCUCCUAGAUACUUGCAUGGAUGGACCCUUUUGGUUUUUUGUUUGUUUGGUUGGUUUUGGUUUUUCCCUUUUCUAGGGCCGCUCCUGCGGCCUAUGGAGGUCCCCAGGCUAGGGGUCUAAUCAGAGCUGUAGCCGCCGGCCUACGCCACAGCCACAGCAAUGCCGGAUCCAAGCUGAGUCUGCGACCUACACCACAGCUCACUGCAACGCCGGAUCCCCAACCCACUGAGCAAGGCCAUGGAUCGAACCUGCAACCCCAUGGUUCCUAGUUGGAUUCGUUAACCACUGCCGCAUGACGGGAACUCUGGAUGAAUCUUUUUGUAUCAUUGAGGCCUCAGCUCAACUGUUGUCUCUUCCUGGUGAAGCCAUCCCAGAUCUGCCCAUCUUGUCUUAGCCCCACAGUCACUUUCCGUCAUCACCCUGUACCUUCUCCUUGUCAGAAAUUACUUUGUUUCAUGAUGUGCUUCCUUGUAUGUUACCUGUUUUUCCUCUUUCAGAAUAUGAGCUCCAUGAGAUGAGGGGACUUUACCCUCAAGUCCAUUGCUCUAUCUCGUGGCUGAACAGUGUCUGGCAAUACAGACAAACCAUAAGCAUUUGUCGAAUGACUAAGUCAGAUUUAGUGUGAGGUGAACACAUACUGUUCAUGGUUUAUGGAGACAUACUAUUUAAAUCACACAAGGGCCUUUAAGAGUUUCCUUCUGGAAAGUGUAUUAAACACCAAAAUUGCCAACAAAAACAUAGAAAUAGGGCCAGCUCUAAAGAUUGGUCAGAGCUUGCAUGCUUUACCCAGCAUGUCAGGUGCUAAGUACACUUCAUAGAGUGAAUAAAUCAGACUUUGGAGUUCCCACCAUGGCGCAGCGGAAGCAAAUCCAACUAGGAACCAUGAGGUUUCAGGUUCGAUCCCUGGCCUUACUCAGUGGGUUAAGGAUCCGGUGUUGUCAUGAACUGUGGUGUAGGUUACAAACGCAGCUUGGAUCUGUCGUUGCUAUGGCUGUGGUGUAGGCCGGCAACUGUAGCUCCAAUUCGCCCCCUAGCCUGGAAAACUCCAUAUGCUGUGGUGUGGCCCUAAAAGGUGGGAAAAAACAAAACAAAACCAAAAAAAGCUACAGACUUUCUAGUAGCCCUUUUAAGCUAAUGGUUUCAAACUCUUUACUAAAUGUAUAACUAAAGCUAAUGUCAGGUAGGAAGAUGGCUUUAAACGUCCCCUCUCUCCUGUUCCACACCCACUGUUUAAAAAAUACUGAGUGUAUAAUACGUAUGUAGGAAAUAAUUGAGUGAAUAAAUGCACAAAUGAAUGAAACAGCCACUGGUUCAGUAAUAAAAAUAAAGAAGACAGUUAAGAACAUAGGCUAAUCCAAGUUGGAUAGACAACUUGUAAAAACUCAGCAACUAAGAAGUAGUUUGAUAGCAAAAAAACAAGUGUGCUGGUAACUGACAGCUAGAAUUGGGGGUCUAAGAACUGGCUUUAAGAGAAAAAGGUCAAGAAGCUAAGAUGAAUCAUGCAGGAAAACACUUACAGGAAGGAAAAGAAGAGAAAUUUAAAUUAGAUUCGUCAUUGCAACUUGAAAAAGAAGUGAGACUACAGGAAACUAUUUUAAAUACCAAGAAAAUGUUCCUAUAGCCAAAUGAAUCAAUAAUAAUAUAUUAAAAAAGCCCUAAGCUGUUGAAAUGUGAUGCUUUGGUAAAAAUGAAUCAACCAACCAAGAAACAUAAAUAAACAAAUAAAUAAGCCAUUCGGUAAUAUAUUGUUCAGAAGCAUCACUAUGGAGCUUAAAUAGAUUUCAUGAAUUCUUGCAAUUACCUAUAAGGACUUCAUAAUCAGCACUGUUUUCCCUUUAUCCCUUGAAAGCAUCUAGCUGUAUAAAAAUAAUAACAUCUUGCAGCUAGAAAAGACUUCUUAGUCUAAACCUUUCUAUCUACAAUACACCUUCAGGGAAAAAGAGGAAUUCUGAUACUUUGCAAAUGCUUGAAAUCCCCUAGAAUAUUCAGAUGGUAUAUUUAGGAUUUUAAAUUUGGAAACGAUUCUUAGGUUUUACUUUUUCACUCUCCUAAGCUUAUUCCACCCACAGUUAUUGAUUCAAUACAUGAAUUGAUUUUACAUGGUGAGGAAAAAAAAUAGAAAACAUCUUUAAAACCAAAGAAUAAUCUCAGUUAUCCAAUCCCUUUGAAGCCUAAUAUAUUUGGAAUCUCAAAAUGACU
Molecule: long non-coding RNA, 2973 nt
Filed under: Sus scrofa (pig)
Lineage: Eukaryota; Metazoa; Chordata; Mammalia; Artiodactyla; Suidae
Description: lncRNA (ENSSSCG00015030281.1)
Source: RNAcentral